Molecule: long non-coding RNA, 235 nt
Filed under: Piliocolobus tephrosceles (Ugandan red Colobus)
Lineage: Eukaryota; Metazoa; Chordata; Mammalia; Primates; Cercopithecidae
Description: lncRNA (ENSPTEG00000038376.1)
Source: RNAcentral
CUCCAGCCUGGGUAACAAGAGCAAGACUCUGUCUAAAAAAAAAAAAAAAAGAAAGAAAGAAAAAGAAAAGAAAGAAAGCUUGAAGAAGAGGGAGCAAGAGCAGGCAGUGGAGAAUGAGGUCCCUAAGGAGUAGACUGGAGGAGUAUAUUGGUGUCUCAGACCAGAGCCUCAGUGGGGAUUCCCAGAGCCUUUUGAAUUUGAGCUGAACCAGCUAAAGACUGCGCACCAGCUAGAC